AAGACUUUAGUUAAUAUAUAAUAAUAGUUUGUCAGAUUAUAGUAAUUAAAAAAUAAUAAGUCUUA
Molecule: transfer RNA, 65 nt
Filed under: Haemopis sanguisuga
Lineage: Eukaryota; Metazoa; Annelida; Clitellata; Hirudinida; Haemopidae
Description: tRNA-Asp
Source: RNAcentral